GACCCGGCCGGGCGGUCUGCCUCACGGUACGUACUGUCUGGCUGGGUCUUACCUCUCGGUGAGCCCGUAUGCUCUUUACUGGGUGUGCGGAGGAACCGGGACGUUUACCUUGAGAAAAUUAGAGUGUUCAAAGCAGGCUUAUGCCCGAAUACAUUAGCAUGGAAUAAUGGAAUAGGACGUGCGGUUCUAUUUCGUUGGUUUCUAGAGUCGCCGUA
This 215-nucleotide ribosomal RNA is filed under the name uncultured fungus. RNAcentral's name for it is "partial small subunit ribosomal RNA". The stretch from base 91 to 215 matches the Rfam family "Eukaryotic small subunit ribosomal RNA", at positions 738 to 864 of the family's 1831-position model. Lineage: Eukaryota; Fungi. The record is from RNAcentral.